Molecule: long non-coding RNA, 731 nt
Filed under: Homo sapiens (human)
Lineage: Eukaryota; Metazoa; Chordata; Mammalia; Primates; Hominidae
Description: non-protein coding CASC9:6
Source: RNAcentral
GUCUGGCACUCCCUAGUGAGAUGAAGCCGGUACCUCAGAUGGAAAUGCGGAAAUCACCGUCUUCUGUGUCGCUCAGGCUGGGAGCUGUAGACCGGAGCUGUUCCUAUUCGGCCAUCUUGGCUCCUCUCCCUCUUUAAAGUGAAUGUGAUUUUGAAGAAAGGAGGAAAGAUGUGAAAAGUGAUUGGUCAGCCACAUUCAUGGUGUUGAGAAAAGAAUUUGCUUUUCUGGAACAUAGCCUGUGAUAGCAGAACAACACCUGGCAAGAAACAGGUUAUGUUUGGCUGGAGAGUCAUUGGCACUAUCAAGAAAUAUUAAAGUGUAGAUUUGAGAGAGGAGGAGAAAGACCCAAGCAAAAUUGAAAACCAGGUGGGACCCAGACAGCAGCAAAGCAAUGGAAGCAUGUAUUUUGGUCAAUAUAGAGUUAAUACACAAUUUUGCCCCUCUUCUUCUGAUCAUGGGACUCAUAUUACCAGUCUUCACAUUUCCUUUAAAUUCAGGAAUCAGGAAGAAUUUCCAGAGUUUGCAGAUGGACACAUUUGCUGCUUCCAUUCUAAACAUAAGUUAGAAGAACCUUUCAACUGGAUUCCAACUUUAAUAUGUCACAAACAUAAAAAAGAAAGCUAUUUCCUGGACUUUUCUUCAUUAGAAAUUAAUAGAUUGUCAAUUGGCAUAGGGAAAAGAUAAUCAACAGAUGCCAACCCCAAGUUAACAGAAAUGCUAAAAUUAUAAGA